This 396-nucleotide ribosomal RNA is filed under the name uncultured bacterium. RNAcentral's name for it is "partial 16S ribosomal RNA". It matches the Rfam family "Bacterial small subunit ribosomal RNA", at positions 338 to 731 of the family's 1533-position model. The record is from RNAcentral.
CCUACGGGGUGCAGCAGUGAGGAAUAUUGGUCAAUGGACGCGAGUCUGAACCAGCCAAGUCGCGUGAAGGAUGACUGCUCUAUGGGUUGUAAACUUCUUUUAUAAAGGAAUAAAACGUGGCACGUGUGCCUUUUUGUAUGUACUUUAUGAAUAAGGAUCGGCUAACUCCGUGCCAGCAGCCGCGGUAAUACGGAGGAUCCGAGCGUUAUCCGGGUUUAUUGGGUUUAAAGGGAGCGUAGGUGGGUUUUUAAGUCAGUUGUGAAAGUGUGCGGCUCAACCGUAAAAUUGCAGUUGAUACUGGCAGUCUUGAGUAUAGUUGAGGUAGGCGGAAUGCGUGGUGUAGCGGUGAAAUGCUUAGAUAUCACGCAGAACCCCGAUUGCGAAGGCAGCAUACUA